Molecule: long non-coding RNA, 2547 nt
Filed under: Anas platyrhynchos platyrhynchos (common mallard)
Lineage: Eukaryota; Metazoa; Chordata; Aves; Anseriformes; Anatidae
Description: lncRNA (ENSAPLG00000019042.1)
Source: RNAcentral
UAUUUUUAAAGAUUACUUUUAUUUUUAAAUAACAAGCCUAUUAAGAAUGUUAAGUGUACACGCAUCCACAAAGCCAUGCAAGGCAGUCCUAACCUCUGUCAUGUGGAAGCAUUGCCUGUUCUUGAAACAUUCAUGAAGAGUCUUUUGUCUCAUCCUCUAAGUACCUGGGACUGACUCUGGACUCGCCUCAAUUACUCAGUUUCAGAACUGGAAAAAAAAUGAAUCACAAUGAAUUUUUUAAGCAGAGAUCAAGCUGUUUUCCUGGCAUUGGGUCCUGUUGAAUCUCCUCCUGGUUCCUCAUUACACCGGGCUCUUGCUCUGGCUGAAGUCGCCACAGCAGAGCAGAGGAUGCUUGGAGCCGGAGCUUUCAAAUGCAGUGGCUGGGACUGGCGAGAGGUCAGGCUGCCAUGGCAGGGGGUUUAAAGCGGGUGCAGGAGGAGGAAAUGAGCUGCUUUUCUGCUGUUUUGUGCAAGUCUACUUCACACGGUGAUCCACAAAGUGGCAAAACACCGUGCCAAGGAAAAGACACGCAGCCAGGAGCGACCGUUCCUUCUCUGGCAGCCCUGCAUGGAGGAGAAACUUCCACACGCGACCCUGCCCUGCCUCAGGAAGUGUGGUUCAAAGAGGGGAAGGAAAUGAGAUGGAAAAGGGCGGGGGGAAGGCUCAUUUACUGCUGGGGAGCUGCCUCUAGACCCAUGGGGAAAGCCAGCAUUAGGGCUAGGGAGAGAUUACCACUGUUUACUGAGAAGCUUAGCGGGAAACACAUGGGGAAAGUCAUAUGGUCGGUCUGUAAGAAUUCAUCCAUGUUCCCGUUCUCCUCCCAUUCUCUCACAGCCUGGAAGUUGCCCUCUGAGGAGACCAUGCCACAGGGACAGCAGCAGGAGGAGGCAGAGCAGACGGGCAGGGAAGCCCUUCAGGGAGCUGAAAUUUCAUGUUGCUCUGUGUCUGUGGGAAUCCCAGCAGCACUGCACCACAGGGAGAUACAACUGCUUUGGGGUCCUACAGCCAGUUUUUCUGUUGCAAAAUGGAAGCGCACGAUUAAACUCCAGCAAAACAGAAGGGAAAGAAUUGGCUGGAGAGGAAUGCAGCAGCAGCACAGACAACAGCAGGUCAGCCCGAGCAUAGUUUGAAUGCUCACUGUGGUAAGUAGUUCUACUGACAGGGCUAGUUUCUGUUUAGAAAUCUGGAUUUGCACAAUGUGCACUAGCAAUACCUGAAACCCUUUCUGCUCUCAUUUACAGAGUAAGAGCUUCCUUUUUUCCAGUGAAACUGUACUUAAAAGAGGUUUGGAUUUAUCUUAUCUUCUUAAUUGCUGCUGUCUCAAUUAAAUUUCACCUGUGAUACCAACAGCCCUCCUGGAGACCGAAAGGAAAUUGAACAGGUUGUGAGUAAAUUAAAUAGCUCUGUAAAUUAUAAAGUUUGCAUCUGCUGGUCACUGCAGAGAAAGCUACAUACAUAGUACAUGAUUUUUGUAACCUUGGUGAUUUAGGAAAUCUUAGGGGAAAAAAAGAGUUUAGCCUGCCAAAAAUCUGCAAGGAUCACUGAUAAUUUGUUGAUCAGCAUUAGGUUCCUUAAAUCCAUGCACUUCAUUAUCUGAUUAAUUCAGAGGCAGGUUUGUAAUCAGUGAUGAAAUGUUUAAGAUUCUUCUGCUCUGGCCUCCGCAACCUCCUGCAGCUCAUUAGAAAAGCUAAUCAGAUUGAAUUUUCUACCAUGCUGUUUAUUGUAGCUCUAAUGGAAGACAAUCACUUUAAAAUUACACACUUGGCAGGUAAUUUCUAAAAGCUAUAAGCCAUGGAAGCAGUGUUUUCUCUAGACUCUAUUUUUCUUUACUAGAGUAAAGUAAGUCAUGGUGAUUUCUAUUAGAAUUUGGAAGGCUAUUUUGCAAUACAAUAUGUAAAGAAAUGUUGCUAAAAAUACGGAUUUCUGCAUUUGCCAUACUUCUUAUCAUCUGCCUGCCUUUUUAGAGAUGAUAAGUAAUGUAUAAGUUUAAUUUAAAAUUCAGUCUUCCUACUUUAUGACUUGAUUUUUCAAGCCUUUAAGAAUGUUCUUCUUAUGGGAUGGAUAACAUUAUUUUAUUUUUUUUUAAAAAAAGACAGCUUUUUGGUCCCCAUUUUUCAUAGAUGAGUUGUUAUAAACCAUAUUGUGCUGGAGCUUUCUGAACACUAACAGCAUGCUUUUGGUCAUGUGGAGGGGAACCAGACAACUAAUGUGCUCUGAAGGAUGCAGUCCUUGAGGCUGCCACAUACUUCAUGGAUUUGUCUUUACUCACAUUCACUCUGUGAAUAAGCAGCGAGUUGCAUAAUGCCAGCUUUGCUUCCUCCUUUUACGUGGAUGUGACAGCUUGAGUCGCUAGCACCAGUUGUGCUCGGGCCAUGAGGAUGAAACAUGCUGUGCAGGAAAAGGUCAGGGGUAAAAGUCAUAGCAAAAUAUAUCCCCUUAAAGUGGAUGCCGCUCCUGCUUUUCAUUGCUUAAAAUAAUAUUAGGGUGUUGUUUUUUUGUUUGUUUUUUUUUAAAUAGCGAAAUCUAAUAAAACUAGACUUGGCCUCA